Molecule: ribosomal RNA, 427 nt
Filed under: uncultured bacterium
Lineage: Bacteria
Description: bacterial SSU rRNA
Rfam family: Bacterial small subunit ribosomal RNA
Source: RNAcentral
UAGGGAAUAUUGGACAAUGGGCGCAAGCCUGAUCCAGCCAUGCCGCGUGAGUGAAGAAGGCCCUCGGGUUGUAAAGCUCUUUUGUCCGGAAAGAAAAGCAUCGGGUUAAUACCCCGGUGUUCUGACGGUACCGGAAGAAUAAGCACCGGCUAACUUCGUGCCAGCAGCCGCGGUAAUACGAAGGGUGCAAGCGUUACUCGGAAUUACUGGGCGUAAAGCGUGCGUAGGUGGUUCGUUAAGUCUGAUGUGAAAGCCCUGGGCUCAACCUGGGAAUGGCAUUGGAAACUGGCGGACUGGAGUGCGGUAGAGGGUAGCGGAAUUCCCGGUGUAGCAGUGAAAGGCGUAGAGAUCGGGAGGAACAUCCGUGGCGAAGGCGGCUACCUGGGCCAGCACUGACACUGAGGCACGAAAGCGUGGGGAGCAAACA